Molecule: transfer RNA, 85 nt
Filed under: Felis catus (domestic cat)
Lineage: Eukaryota; Metazoa; Chordata; Mammalia; Carnivora; Felidae
Rfam family: tRNA
About the family: Transfer RNA (tRNA) molecules are approximately 80 nucleotides in length.
Source: Rfam by way of RNAcentral
GCCUGGGUGGCUCAUUCAGUUAAGCAUCUGACUUUGGCUCAGGUCAUGAUAUCAUGGUUUGUGGGUUCAAGCCCCAUGUCAGGCU